UCCGUGCAGAGCACUAUACUAAGUGUACCAUACAACCCAAAGCUUAGUAAAGUACUCUGCGCAUGGU
RNAcentral lists this microRNA precursor (67 nucleotides) under Ornithorhynchus anatinus (platypus). Its description in RNAcentral is "Oan-Novel-6_pre stem-loop". The record is from RNAcentral. Lineage: Eukaryota; Metazoa; Chordata; Mammalia; Monotremata; Ornithorhynchidae.